RNAcentral lists this ribosomal RNA (253 nucleotides) under uncultured bacterium. RNAcentral describes it as "partial 16S ribosomal RNA". It matches the Rfam family "Bacterial small subunit ribosomal RNA", at positions 524 to 776 of the family's 1533-position model. The record is from RNAcentral.
UACGUGAGGGGCAAGCGUUGUCCGGAAUCAUUGGGCGUAAAGAGCGUGUAGGCGGCCUGGUAAGUCCGCUGUGAAAGUCCAGGGCUCAACCCUGGAAUGCCGGUGGAAACUGUCAGGCUCGAGUCCGGAAGAGGCGAGUGGAAUUCCUGGUGUAGCGGUGAAAUGCGCAGAUAUCAGGAGGAACACCAAUGGCGAAGGCAGCUCGCUGGGACGGUACUGACGCUGAGACGCGAAAGCGUGGGGAGCAAACAGG